Molecule: non-coding RNA, 21 nt
Filed under: Caenorhabditis elegans
Lineage: Eukaryota; Metazoa; Nematoda; Chromadorea; Rhabditida; Rhabditidae
Source: RNAcentral
UACUUCAGUAGUAACCCCCAG